Molecule: ribosomal RNA, 446 nt
Filed under: uncultured bacterium
Lineage: Bacteria
Description: bacterial SSU rRNA
Rfam family: Bacterial small subunit ribosomal RNA
Source: RNAcentral
GCACAACGCGAAGAACCUUACCUGGUCUUGACAUAGUAAGAACUUUCCAGAGAUGGAUUGGUGCCUUCGGGAACUUACAUACAGGUGCUGCAUGGCUGUCGUCAGCUCGCGUCGUGAGAUGUUGGGUUAAGUCCCGUAACGAGCGCAACCCGUGUCCUUAGUUACCAGCACGUUAUGGUGGGCACUCUAAGGAGACUGCCGGUGACAAACCGGAAGAAGGUGGGGAUGACGGUCAAGUCAUCAUGGCCCUUACGGCCUGGGCUACACACGUGCUACAAUGGUCGGUACAGAGGGUUGCCAAGCCGCGAGGUGGAGCUAAUCUCACAAAACCGAUCGUAGUCCGGAUCGCAGUCUGCAACUCGACUGCGUGAAGUCGGAAUCGCUAGUAAUCGUGGAUCAGAAUGUCACGGUGAAUACGUUCCCGGGUCUUGUACACACCGAGUCGU